This is a long non-coding RNA of Contarinia nasturtii (swede midge), 533 nucleotides long. RefSeq lists it as uncharacterized. The record is from RefSeq and is a predicted model, not a curated record. NCBI's taxonomy places the organism in Eukaryota, Metazoa, Arthropoda, Insecta, Diptera, Cecidomyiidae. The transcript has 2 exons.
AGCGGCAAAUUAUAAAUAGUAGCUCUUUCAUAGCAACGCAAUUAGUAUAAACUUGGACAUUUCUCAGACAAGUCGAUUAAAAAUGUUGAAUAGAAACGUUUUUGUUGUAAUUUUCGUUGGAUUGAUCGUUUUUCAGUUUGCGAUUUCUAAUGUGGAUGCAAUGAAGAAAAACGAAGGAAAACCUGCCAAUCCAAAAAAAGAUGUUAAGAAAACCAAAGCAGUUGUACAAAAAGAGCCGAGUGAGGCGAAGAAUACCGUAAAAAAUCCGGAGGUGAAGAAUACAGCAGAGAGGCCGGAGAAUAAAGAAGCCGCGAAAACUCAAAAUUCACAUGGUAUGACUGAUGAAGAAUAUCAAGACUUUCUCAUUUGGAUGGAAAGAAAUGAUGAUUUCUAUUAAUGUAUUAGUUCUUUCUAAUAAUUCACAAUGAAUCGUUUGUAUCGCUAAAAUACGAAAUGAAAUAAAUAUUCACUGAUGUAAUAUGAAAUAAAGGUGGUCAUAGAAACUACAACAAAAACUUUUCUUUGUAAGAAAA